RNAcentral lists this ribosomal RNA (468 nucleotides) under uncultured bacterium. Its description in RNAcentral is "partial 16S ribosomal RNA". It matches the Rfam family "Bacterial small subunit ribosomal RNA", at positions 28 to 507 of the family's 1533-position model. The record is from RNAcentral.
GACGAACGCUGGCGGCGUGCUUAACACAUGCAAGUCGAACGGAAAGGCCCUGCUUUUGUGGGGUGCUCGAGUGGCGAACGGGUGAGUAACACGUGAGUAACCUGCCCUUGACUUUGGGAUAACUUCAGGAAACUGGGGCUAAUACCGGAUAGGAGCUCCUGCUGCAUGGUGGGGGUUGGAAAGUUUCGGCGGUUGGGGAUGGACUCGCGGCUUAUCAGCUUGUUGGUGGGGUAGUGGCUUACCAAGGCUUUGACAGGUAGCCGGCCUGCGAGGGUGACCGGCCACAUUAGGACGGGGAUGCGGCCCAGACUCCAACGGGAGGCAGCGGUGGGGAAUAUUGCACAAUGGGCGGAAGGCUAAUGCAGCAAAGCCGCGUGCGGGAUGACGGGAUUCGGGUUGUAAACCGCUUUCGCCUGUGACGAAGCGUGAGUGACGGUAAUGGGUAAAGAAGCACCGGCUAACUACGUG